UGUUUGCAUAGUGGGUGUAUAUAAUGCAGUGUGUUUGUGUAGUGUGUUUAUAUAAUGCACACUACACAAACACACUGCAUUAUAUACACACACUAUACAAAC
This 102-nucleotide microRNA precursor is filed under the name Pelobates cultripes (western spadefoot toad). Lineage: Eukaryota; Metazoa; Chordata; Amphibia; Anura; Pelobatidae. The record is from RNAcentral.